This 86-nucleotide transfer RNA is filed under the name Mycoplasmatota bacterium. RNAcentral describes it as "Tenericutes bacterium tRNA-Leu". It matches the Rfam family "tRNA". Rfam says of the family: Transfer RNA (tRNA) molecules are approximately 80 nucleotides in length. Their secondary structure includes four short double-helical elements and three loops (D, anti-codon, and T loops). Further hydrogen bonds mediate the characteristic L-shaped molecular structure. tRNAs have two regions of fundamental functional importance: the anti-codon, which is responsible for specific mRNA codon recognition, and the 3' end, to which the tRNAs corresponding amino acid is attached (by aminoacyl-tRNA synthetases). tRNAs cope with the degeneracy of the genetic code in two manners: having more than one tRNA (with a specific anti-codon) for a particular amino acid; and 'wobble' base-pairing, i.e. permitting non-standard base-pairing at the 3rd anti-codon position. The record is from RNAcentral. Lineage: Bacteria; Bacillati; Mycoplasmatota.
GCGGACGUGGUGGAAUGGUAGACACGCAAGCUUGAGGGGCUUGUGGGCUUAGGCCCGUGUGAGUUCAAGUCUCAUCGUCCGCACCA